Long non-coding RNA from Entelurus aequoreus (snake pipefish), 194 nucleotides. RefSeq lists it as uncharacterized. Lineage: Eukaryota; Metazoa; Chordata; Actinopteri; Syngnathiformes; Syngnathidae. The record is from RefSeq and is a predicted model, not a curated record. The transcript has 3 exons.
GCCAGCAAGAGUCAUGAGUACUUGUCAACUCGACUCCUCAACUGGAGAUAACUUUCUAGCACCUCACCAUGGGGAAGAACGCAUUCAUAUGCCUUCACCAGCACCUGCAUUAAACAUGCAGAGAGUUACACAAGGAACGGCAGUCCCUCCUCGACUCCCUCCACCCCCCUCACCAGCAGCCCUCAACAUGUGGC